Microplitis mediator is the source of this 2018-nucleotide RNA transcript. RefSeq lists it as uncharacterized. The record is from RefSeq and is a predicted model, not a curated record. The transcript is spliced from 3 exons. NCBI's taxonomy places the organism in Eukaryota, Metazoa, Arthropoda, Insecta, Hymenoptera, Braconidae.
UUGUAGGUAGUACAAGAACUGAAAAAUAAUUUUUGGUUGCCAGUAUACCUGUAGUCGUUGCACUGAUCAGUCGAUAGUUUUGUGAUAAAUUAUUUCUCAAGUGAAUUAAAUUAUUAACCAUGGGACGUGAUUCUAGAAAGGUUUCAAGAGAACUUCGGAGUUCUGAAAAAAUUAAUAAGUCGCGUUCAGUCAAAAGAAAGAAUGUUUUUAAUCCGAAAACAGCCGAACGUGAUGAAAGUAUUCAGAGUACAUCUUCUAAAAAAUUAAAACAAAACACUGAAGAUGAUGUACCUGAAGACAGCAGUACUGAAUUUCGAAUAAUAAAUUUUAUUCAGGUAUUCACUGCAAUUUCUGCUCUUAUAAAAUGUAAAAAAUGUGAUGGAAAUGUAGUGUUUCAAACAGCAAGUACACGUGGGCUGGGAUUCAAAAUUGUAGUUGCAUGUAAUAACUGUGGAAAUGAAUAUAUUCCUUCCUGUUCUUUCGUUGGGCAUUCUUAUGAAAUAAACAGACGUUUCAUUUUUGUAAUGAGAAUACUAGGAAUAGGAUACGAAGGAUUGUGCAAGUUUUGCGGCCUGAUGGACAUGCCGUCUUUUUUAGAUAAAUCUACGCAUACAAUUUUACUGAAACAGAUUUUGAAUUGUAGUAAAGCCGUCGCAGAAACCUUCAUGACGAAAGCUGUGAAUGAAGAAAAGCAAGCAAUGCCAACAACUGAAAAUGAAGAUAUAAAUCAUCUAACUGUAUCGGGAGAUGGAACCUGGCAAAAACGGGGAUAUACAUCGUCAUUUGGAGUUUCUUCUAUAAUUGGCUAUUUUACUGGAAAGAUUCUUGACAUAAACAUUAAAAGUGCAUAUUGUAAGCUAUGUGAGUAUUGGAAAAAAAAACAAAUACUGUUGAGUUCGAGGAAUAGUAUCAAUCGCAUGAAGAUGUGUGUUCUGCUAAUCAUCAAGGGUCUUCUGGGAAAAUGGAGGUGGAUGCGAUGGUCGAAAUGUUUUCGUAUUCUGAAACUAAAUAUGGAGUUAAGUAUGCCAACUAUAUUGGUGAUGGUGACUCCAAGACCUAUUCAGGAAUUAUAAAAUCAGAUCCUUACGAAAAUACAACUGUAAAUAAAAAGGAAUGUAUAGGGCAUGUCCAAAAGCGGAUGGGGAGUCGAUUACGUACGCUGAAGAGUAAACAAAAAGGUCUUGGUGGUCGAGGUAAGCUCACAGGAAAAUUAAUAGACAAACUAACUGUGUACUAUGGUUUAGCAAUACGCCGGCAUUGUGAUUCUAUUGAAAAUAUGAAAUCUGCUAUAAUGGCAACCUUUUAUCACUACGGCUCGAGUGAUGAAAAACCGAAUCAUGAUAUGUGUCCAAAAGGCGAAGAAUCUUGGUGCUCUUACCAGCGCGCUGAAGCAAGAGGAGAGCUUGAUACCUUUUCUCACGAUUAUUCUCCUUUACCUUCUGAUGUUUUAAAAGCUAUCAAGCCUAUAUACGAAGAUCUUAGUAAUGAAAAUUUACUUUCAAGAUGUGUAGGUGGAUUCAAUCAGAAUAAUAAUGAAAGCUUUAACCAACUAGUAUGGAAAAUAUGCCCAAAAACGUCUUGAUGAAUACACUAGGACUUAAUUGUGGGCCUAAUUCUCAUCGGUAUGCAGAAAGAAUGGAUGCUGCACGUAUCAAAGUAGCAGAUAAGCGCGCUAAUGAUAACACCCGAGAAGGUCGAUUGCAACGUAGGCACCAGCAAAUCGAUAUUUUGGAAGCUGCUAUGUCGGCUGAAGAGCUAUUAUAUGGUCCAGGAAUAGAUGACUCAGUAUGAAUCUCCAAGGACUUAUGAUGAUCACCGCAAAGGACUUCGGGAGGAACGGGCUCUACAAAAACAGCGAUAACUUUUUGAAUUAUUAAUUUUUUUUUUUGAAAUUUUCGUGAAGUCAAAUCGAAACGUGUUCUAAUAAAGCUAUGUUUUUAUUUUUGUCAAAUAAAGUAAUUAACUACAAAAAAAAAAUUAUUGAAAAUCAUCAUUUUUUCAUACCCCUGAGUACCCCU